GCCUCCAUGGUCCAAAGGAUCACGACGUCCGGUUUCUACCCGGAAGAUGCGGGUUCGAUUCCUGCUGGGGGCG
This 73-nucleotide transfer RNA is filed under the name Brevibacterium otitidis. RNAcentral describes it as "tRNA-Arg". It matches the Rfam family "tRNA". From Rfam's summary of the family: Transfer RNA (tRNA) molecules are approximately 80 nucleotides in length. Their secondary structure includes four short double-helical elements and three loops (D, anti-codon, and T loops). RNAcentral also lists the same sequence under 2 other names. Lineage: Bacteria; Bacillati; Actinomycetota; Actinomycetes; Micrococcales; Brevibacteriaceae. The record is from RNAcentral.